Molecule: transfer RNA, 67 nt
Filed under: Marmota monax (woodchuck)
Lineage: Eukaryota; Metazoa; Chordata; Mammalia; Rodentia; Sciuridae
Description: tRNA.Ala
Source: RNAcentral
GGAUGUGGUUCAGUGGUAGAGUGCUAGCCUAGCAUGUGUGAGACCUUGGGUUCAAUCCCCAGCACCA